CCUACGGGGGGCUGCAGUGAGGAAUAUUGGUCAAUGGCCGGAAGGCUGAACCAGCCAUGCCGCGUGAAGGGCAGGGACCUAGGGGCGUUAAACUUCUUUUGUGCGGGAGCAAGAAUGGGCACGUGUGGCCAGACGAGAGUACCGUACGAAUAAGCAGCGGCUAACUCCGUGCCAGCAGCCGCGGUAAUACGGGGGAUGCAAGCGUUAUCCGGAUUUAUGGGGGUUCAAGGGGGCGUAGGCGGUGAGGUAAGUCAGCGGGGAAAUGCCCCCGCUCAACGGGGUGAAGUGCCAUUGAUACUGCCUUGCUGGACUGCGGCUGCCGUGGGAGGUCUGUGUGGUGUAGCGGUG
This 348-nucleotide ribosomal RNA is filed under the name uncultured bacterium. RNAcentral's name for it is "partial 16S ribosomal RNA". It matches the Rfam family "Bacterial small subunit ribosomal RNA", at positions 338 to 683 of the family's 1533-position model. The record is from RNAcentral.